RNAcentral lists this ribosomal RNA (1486 nucleotides) under metagenome. RNAcentral describes it as "bacterial SSU rRNA". It matches the Rfam family "Bacterial small subunit ribosomal RNA". The record is from RNAcentral.
AGAGUUUGAUCCUGGCUCAGAUUGAACGCUGGCGGCAUGCCUUACACAUGCAAGUCGAACGGUAACGCGGGGCAACCUGGCGACGAGUGGCGAACGGGUGAGUAAUACAUCGGAACGUGCCCAGUAGUGGGGGAUAGCCCGGCGAAAGCCGGAUUAAUACCGCAUACGACCUACGGGUGAAAGCAGGGGAUCGCAAGACCUUGCGCUAUUGGAGCGGCCGAUGUCAGAUUAGGUAGUUGGUGGGGUAAAAGCCUACCAAGCCAACGAUCUGUAGCUGGUCUGAGAGGACGACCAGCCACACUGGGACUGAGACACGGCCCAGACUCCUACGGGAGGCAGCAGUGGGGAAUUUUGGACAAUGGGCGCAAGCCUGAUCCAGCCAUGCCGCGUGCGGGAAGAAGGCCUUCGGGUUGUAAACCGCUUUUGUCAGGGAAGAAACGCUCUGGGUUAAUACCCUGGGGUAAUGACGGUACCUGAAGAAUAAGCACCGGCUAACUACGUGCCAGCAGCCGCGGUAAUACUUAGGGUGCAAGCGUUAAUCGGAAUUACUGGGCGUAAAGCGUGCGCAGGCGGUCUUGCAAGACAGAUGUGAAAUCCCCGGGCUUAACCUGGGAACUGCAUUUGUGACUGCAAGGCUGGAGUACGGUAGAGGGGGAUGGAAUUCCGCGUGUAGCAGUGAAAUGCGUAGAUAUGCGGAGGAACACCGAUGGCGAAGGCAAUCCCCUGGACCUGUACUGACGCUCAUGCACGAAAGCGUGGGGAGCAAACAGGAUUAGAUACCCUGGUAGUCCACGCCCUAAACGAUGUCAACUGGUUGUUGGGAAGGUUCCUUCUCAGUAACGUAGCUAACGCGUGAAGUUGACCGCCUGGGGAGUACGGCCGCAAGGUUGAAACUCAAAGGAGUUGACGGGGACCCGCACAAGCGGUGGAUGAUGUGGUUUAAUUCGACGCAACGCGAAAAACCUUACCUACCCUUGACAUGUCUGGAAUUCCACAGAGAUGAGGAAGUGCUCGAAAGAGAGCCAGAACACAGGUGCUGCAUGGCCGUCGUCAGCUCGUGUCGUGAGAUGUUGGGUUAAGUCCCGCAACGAGCGCAACCCUUGUCAUUAGUUGCUACGAAAGGGCACUCUAAUGAGACUGCCGGUGACAAACCGGAGGAAGGUGGGGAUGACGUCAGGUCAUCAUGGCCCUUAUGGGUAGGGCUACACACGUCAUACAAUGGCCGGUACAGAGGGUUGCCAACCCGCGAGGGGGAGCCAAUCCCAGAAAACCGGUCGUAGUCCGGAUCGCAGUCUGCAACUCGACUGCGUUAAGUCGGAAUCGCUAGUAAUCGCGGAUCAGCUUGCCGCGGUGAAUACGUUCCCGGGUCUUGUACACACCGCCCGUCACACCAUGGAGCGGGUUCUGCCAGAAGUAGUUAGCCUAACCGCAAGGAGGGCGAUUACCACGGCAGGGUUCGUGACUGGGGUGAAGUCGGAACAAGGUA